Neopelma chrysocephalum (saffron-crested tyrant-manakin) is the source of this 418-nucleotide long non-coding RNA. RefSeq lists it as uncharacterized. Lineage: Eukaryota; Metazoa; Chordata; Aves; Passeriformes; Pipridae. The record is from RefSeq and is a predicted model, not a curated record. The transcript has 2 exons.
CCAGGUUGCUCCAAGCCCCGUCCAACCUGCCCUUGGACACUUCCAGGGAUGGAGUUACAACUUCUGUACCUGUAGAAGUUUGACUUACACACAGCCCCUGUAACAGACUCUGCUCAAUCACUCAGACCUUUCAGGGGAAGAGUUAUGCAAUGGUUAUUGUGUGAAAACAAAUGUGAGGAGGAAAUUCCUCCAGGGAUCUCACAUCUGGGAGUGACUUGGGAUAAGCUGGAGUGACCAACCAGGGAUCCUCCUGCACAGACUGGGUCUAACGGUGCUUCUGCCCCAGGGGUUGCUUCAGGGAGACACCCCCCCCCUUAGCAAGGCACAAAUCCACUUGGCUUGGCUGCAAAACUUCAUCCACACACAGCAGAAUGUUUAAAAAAGUCACCAGAUAUGUUGUAAGUCAAAUGGAUACAAA